This 1320-nucleotide long non-coding RNA is filed under the name Fukomys damarensis (Damara mole-rat). RNAcentral describes it as "lncRNA (ENSFDAG00000027230.1)". The record is from RNAcentral. Lineage: Eukaryota; Metazoa; Chordata; Mammalia; Rodentia; Bathyergidae.
CCUCCCAGGGUGCUGUACCAUGACUGAGUGGAAAAUGAUUUUAAAGUCUCACGGUGGAAAGCCAAAUUGAAGAAGGGCUUUGGGAAAGUUUUCUAGGAGCCAGAGGCUGGAAGUGGGAGCUGGGCACCACCUAACGUUCUGUCAGCCUUAGCUUGGGGAUGCAGGCUGCCCCGUUCCUCCUGUCCUCGCAGAGGGAUCUGUGGACAGCAAACAUCUCUGGAAGAACACUGAGCCACCUGCCACCUAGACGCGUGUGAAUUGCGUAGGAAACGCGUUUCACCUGCACAGGACCCGGAUGUUCAGGCGCGGUCAUGGCGGCCCCCACGAGGAUUCCAAGAUCGCUGAGCCAAGGAGAGAGGCCUCGCUUCCCACUGAGCCUCCCCCUCCUGUCACUGUCACUCCGGAAGUCAAAGCGAGCCGAGUACCUAGUCACCUAGAAAUCCUUAUUUCCAGACUGAAAAACAAGUAGUGCAGAACUGUGGCUCCUGAGAGAAGAGGAACAAGGUGAAUCCUACAAUUUCUACCUGGAGGCAGUUUUCAGACAGAGACAGAGGGAGGGAUCUGAACAGAGUGCCAGCAGCCUUCGGCCUAGGUGAAUGAAAAGACAGUGCCUGUACCUCAGAGAUGACAGUGCAGCCAUGACCUGAAAUAAGAAGGAAUCGGCAAGAGAAUGAGCCCCAGAGAUCCACACAGGGCUUCCCUGAAUCUGUGGACAUGUGGAUAAAGCUUUUCAGACCAAGCAAAAAAUCAGUUCCCAAGAAAGAACAAUUCCCAGAGCUCAUGCAAAGGCCGACAGCUGGGUCCUCAACAGAGAAGGCUGGGAAGGCUUUGCUGGACACACAGGCAUUCCACAGAGGCUGUAGAGUAUGGUUUAACUAGUCCCCCAGAAAAGAAUCCUUGGAAGGCUUAAAAAGAUGUCUAGUUCCUGAUCUGUACACACCUUCAUUGUCCUCCAGAACAAAGCCCAAACUACUUCAAAGACGUACAAGCCAAUGCAGCAUCAAGAAUGCACAAUUCUUAAUAUUCUAUUCUCCCAACAAAAAUUAUCAGAUAUGCAAAGAAGCAGGAAGAUGUGACCCUCCAACAAGAGGAAAACCAACAAAGAGAAAUGGACCCAGAAAGGCCAGAUAUUAUAGAGAAUAUGCAAACACAUGAAAAUAGCUGUCCUAAACAUGUUAAAUGUGCCAAAGAUUUAAAGGAAAAGAUAAACAUCAUGAGAGAAAUGGAAACAAUAAGGAGCCAAGUAAAAUUUCUAGAGAUGGAAAAUAACUGAAAUAAAAAUUUUACUAGAUAAGAUUAGCAACUGAUUUAAGACUGAAG